AUUGAACGCUGGCGGCAUGCCUUACACAUGCAAGUCGAACGGCAGCACGGGGGCAACCCUGGUGGCGAGUGGCGAACGGGUGAGUAAUGCAUCGGAACGUGCCCUGAAGUGGGGGAUAACGUAGCGAAAGUUACGCUAAUACCGCAUAUUCUGUGAGCAGGAAAGCAGGGGAUCGCAAGACCUUGCGCUUUAGGAGCGGCCGAUGUCGGAUUAGCUAGUUGGUGGGGUAAGAGCUCACCAAGGCGACGAUCCGUAGCGGGUCUGAGAGGAUGAUCCGCCACACUGGGACUGAGACACGGCCCAGACUCCUACGGGAGGCAGCAGUGGGGAAUUUUGGACAAUGGGCGCAAGCCUGAUCCAGCCAUGCCGCGUGAGUGAAGAAGGCCUUCGGUUGUAAGACUCUUUCGUCGGGGAGAAAGUUGCACUGGCUAUACCUGUGUAGAUGACGGUACCGCCAUAGAAGCACCGGCUAACUACGUG
RNAcentral lists this ribosomal RNA (480 nucleotides) under uncultured bacterium. Its description in RNAcentral is "bacterial SSU rRNA". It matches the Rfam family "Bacterial small subunit ribosomal RNA", at positions 30 to 507 of the family's 1533-position model. The record is from RNAcentral.